CAACAAUCUUUUCACAGAAAUGGAAAUUACUGCCAUGUCAUUGUAUUCCCUGACCAUGUACAGUGAACAAAAUAGCCAAUUAAAGAGUGUGACAACCACUGUCUUGAAAUUCCUACAGGCAGCUGCAAAGGAACACCACAAUGAUAUUCCACUGGAAAAAGGGCCAAACCACCUGAUCAUAAGAACAUCUUAUCAAUAUCCUCCUGGGCAGCAAGCCAUACUGCCCAGCUCCCUCCCACCCAUACCUCUGCAACCAGGAUCACCCCCAUUGCUGGACAUCACAUCCAACACUGGGCUUCAAUUCGUGGGCUAAACUCCCCUGUCCAGGCGGCCACCCAGCAACACAUUGAUACCAUCCUUCUCCUCUGCCAAGUCCAGUACCAGUGCCUCCAGGAAAACAACUCUGAAGUCCAACACCCACUGCUUCAAAACCCAAACCCUGAUUACAGCUCCCCUAUUCGGCAGGAAGCAGCCAGAUAAUCAACAAUGCCCCUCUUCCUUUUAUACUAAAGUAGAAGGCAAGAAUGUGAGUCCAAACCACCAUUUAGUAAGCACCCUGCUAUUUUUCAGACCUUGGUCAAAGUGAAACAUUCCACGGGGGUUCGGGCCAUGAGAAAAAUCUUGCCUAAUCGUCGUAACACAAGACGGACAAAGGUCCAACUAAAGAAACUUUCCUAUCAUAUCUUGCUGGGCAAAGUUUCAAGAUACACCACAAUGACAUCCCACUGGAAAAAGGACCAAACAGCCUGAUCAUAAAAACAUCUUAUCAAUAUCCUGCCGGGCAGCAAGCCAUACUGCCCAGGCCCCUCCCACCCCUACCUACAAGCACCCCAGCCUGUAAGCAGCGGUGGGCUCUGGCAUUAAGCGGGUCCCCCACUUCCACAGGUGUCUGCAGUAUUCCUGUGUUGCUGUUUGAGCCACCCCCUCUCUGUGUGUCUUUCUUUCACCCUCACCUUCCCUUCAAAACCUGACAAUCUUACCUCAUCAUUUUUUUUGUUAUUGGAUUCACAGGGGCUCUUCGUCUUCUCCCCAUUGGUGCUGGAAGUUGGCUGUUCCAUGAUUCUGGUUGGUUGUAGAAUGUCUAUAGUAGGCUCCUGUAGACUGCAGACUUCCACAGCUAUGUUGAAGCUUCCCAGUGGGAUGUCCCAGAGCUCUUGCCCUCCCUAUAUAUACCCUCCUGGUGACAAGGCAAAGCCACACCCUUGAGCUUUGUUUGAUCAUACAGGCAGUGUCCCAGCCAAUGGCGGUCCUAAGGUGGCUUUGACAUCACAAAGCCCCACUGCUGACCACUCCUUGGGCUUGUGGGGGAGGGGUGACAGGGAUGUAGAGGAAACCAAAUGCGGUUGUUGUUUCAGCAUCCCCUGAAGAUGCAUCCCAAACCGAUCUGCCGCCGCUCCUCAUUUCUCCAUGUUUAAUGUUCAUGGUUCACAUGGAAGUCAGAGGAUGAUUCCUUCAAGCCCUUCCCCACAGCCAUUCCUAUGAAGUGAUUCAUUCUUUUGUCUUCCAGCCCUCACCAUGACUUAGUAUUUUAGAUGUCUCACCUCAAAUCCCCCAAGCUAGUGUGGCUACAUUUAAUUAUUAGUUAUUAAUUACUAGUUACAUUUAAUAAUUAAUAAUUAAUUAUCCCAUUUCCCUCCUACAGUUCCUUCAUAUGCACCUUGAAGACCAUUUACUUUUAGGCUACUGCCAGGCAAAUUUCAACCCAUGUUAUUUUACUCAAUGUCCGUGUAGUUCUUUUAAAUUUCCUAUUUCCAAUCUGCAAUAAUGGCCUUCAGUCUGUCAAAAUUUUAGUGAAUAAACAUUCUUUACUGUGUAUCCUAGUCUUGUUUCAAAUGAGGGGUGUAUUUUCAUAGUAAAUGUAGUCUCCCAACAUGAAUUCUGCCAGUAUGUGGGUGGGGGAAGGAGUGGAUAUUCAAGUGCUGGAAGUUGUUCUCAGUGUUUACAUGCAGGAUGCUACAAUCUAAGACCCACAUGUGCACCAGUAUGGGCAUAGUUAUACUUUGUACUGAAGAUUGUGUCCAGUGCAAAAAGAAAAAUGCAUUCAGUUUGG
Molecule: long non-coding RNA, 2050 nt
Filed under: Homo sapiens (human)
Lineage: Eukaryota; Metazoa; Chordata; Mammalia; Primates; Hominidae
Description: HSALNT0287011
Source: RNAcentral